Molecule: ribosomal RNA, 108 nt
Filed under: Jaculus jaculus (lesser Egyptian jerboa)
Lineage: Eukaryota; Metazoa; Chordata; Mammalia; Rodentia; Dipodidae
Source: RNAcentral
GUCUGUGGCCAUAACACCCUGAAUGCACCUGAUCCCAUCUGAUCUCCAAAGCUAAGUAGGGUCAGGCCAGGUUAGCACUUGGAUGGGGGAAUGCCGGGCCUGAUGGCG